UUGGUGUUGUCCCUUCAGUCAGGAGUGAGCCCCUGAUGCUCUGCCCAGGUCACUCCACGAGGAGAGAUCAUGCCAGGUAGUCCCUGAUGGCUCUCCUCCUCAGAGUCCCUGUGACUAAACACCUGAGAAAGUUCUGCUCCUGACUAAUGCUCUACUCCCUUUGCAGUAAAGCACCACAUAAGCUUUUCUUUUUGUGUCUUAAGUGUCCUUGGCAUAAUCUUUGAUUUGAUUUGCUGCACUACUCAGGAGUCUUAUGGAUAAGGAACAAAUUGACAUGAAGAAAGUUGUCACAAAUUCUUGGAUCUCUAAUGUGAAAGAUUGAUACAAUUAAGAUGUUCCUGAAUUUCCAAAAAGUUUAGCGCUAUUAGUGUUAUAACAAAUUAUUAGCUAUUUUUCCCCAAGAAUUCUGAAAUUCUCAAUCCAGGACUGUUUGACACCGAGUAACAACUAACACUGUUUAUGAAGAUUCGAGCAAUAUCGUGGUAUAUAUGAAAAACAUCAUGGUUGGCAACGCUCACACAGUGGGCUCCAUUUUUUAAUUAUCUGGAUUGUUCCUUUUGAGGAAAUCAUCAUAGACCAUUUGGAGUCCUAAGGCAUCAUCUGAAAAAAAGGCAAAUGAUCACCUCCCAGAUAUCUGCUCUAUUGAAGGGCUCUCAAACCAUCAAUGCACUUGUCCAUCAGAAAGAUUGGCUCCAGACUGCUCAGUCUACUCCUAUAGAAAUAUUUAGAUAAUCCUGUUUUCACACCCAUGCUGCUGGAAAUAAAGAAUUUUGAGAUGAUGGUGUGCCAUGAUAAAGAAAUUUGACACCUUCAGUCAACUGGUCAGAAGAGAGACAGACGUCCAAAAGGAUUCAUCUCAAAUAAACAAGAUUGUGACUGGAAUGAGACA
Long non-coding RNA from Prionailurus viverrinus (fishing cat), 889 nucleotides. RefSeq lists it as uncharacterized. NCBI's taxonomy places the organism in Eukaryota, Metazoa, Chordata, Mammalia, Carnivora, Felidae. The transcript has 5 exons. The record is from RefSeq and is a predicted model, not a curated record.